Molecule: microRNA precursor, 155 nt
Filed under: Fragaria vesca subsp. vesca
Lineage: Eukaryota; Viridiplantae; Streptophyta; Magnoliopsida; Rosales; Rosaceae
Source: RNAcentral
GCAUGAAGGGGUAGGGAAUGGAGUUGAGCCAAGAAUGACUUGCUGCAAGUGAAAUACGUAUUCGUCGACCGAUCUGAGAUCUCGAUCUCGAUCUCGGUCAUGAAACUAUGCAGCAAGUUGUUCUUGUCUCUAUUUGGUUCUCUAUCUUCUCAUGU